Molecule: ribosomal RNA, 803 nt
Filed under: Microdochium bolleyi
Lineage: Eukaryota; Fungi; Ascomycota; Sordariomycetes; Xylariales; Microdochiaceae
Description: partial large subunit ribosomal RNA
Rfam family: Eukaryotic large subunit ribosomal RNA
Source: RNAcentral
CGAGUGAAGCGGCAACAGCUCAAAUUUGAAAUCUGGCCUUCUGGUCCGAAUUGUAAUUUGUAGAGGAUGCUUUUGGUUAGGUACCUUUCGAGUUCCUUGGAACAGGACGCCUUAGAGGGUGAGAGCCCCGUACGAUUGGAUACCGAGCCUCUGUAAAGCUCCUUCGACGAGUCGAGUAGUUUGGGAAUGCUGCUCUAAAUGGGAGGUAAAUUUCUUCUAAAGCUAAAUACCGGCCAGAGACCGAUAGCGCACAAGUAGAGUGAUCGAAAGAUGAAAAGCACUUUGAAAAGAGGGUUAAAUAGUACGUGAAAUUGUUGAAAGGGAAGGGCUUAUGACCAGACCUUUGCCUUGCGGAUCAUCCGGUGUUCUCACCGGUGCACUCCGCUUGGUUGAGGCCAGCAUCAGUUUUGGCGGCCGGAUAAAGACUUCAGGAAUGUGACUCCUCCGGGAGUGUUAUAGCCUGCUGUGUAAUACGGCCGCUGGGACUGAGGACCGCGCUUCGGCUAGGAUGCUGGCAUAAUGGUCAUCAGCCACCCGUCUUGAAACACGGACCAAGGAGUCGAACAUUUAUGCGAGUUUUUGGGUGUUAAACCCUCAAGCGUAAUGAAAGUGAACGGAGGUGAGAGCCCUUACGGGUGCAUCAUCGACCGAUCCUGAUGUCUUCGGAUGGAUUUGAGUAAGAGCAUAACUGUUCGGACCCGAAAAGAUGGUUGAACUAUGCGUGGAUAGGGUGAAGCCAGAGGAAACUCUGGUGGAGGCUCGCAGCGGUUCUGACGUGCAAAUCGAUCGUCAAAUCUGCGCAU